GAUGAACGCUAGCGAUAGGCUUAACACAUGCAAGUCGCGGGGCAGCACAAGGUAGCUUGCUAUCUGGGUGGCGACCGGCGCACGGGUGCGUAACGCGUAUGCAACUUGCCCUAUACAGGAGGAUAACCCGUCGAAAGACGGACUAAUACUGCGUAUGCUCACAACUUGGCAUCAAGUGGUGAGGAAAGAAAUUCGGUAUAGGAUAGGCAUGCGUCCCAUUAGCUUGUUGGUGAGGUAACGGCUCACCAAGGCAACGAUGGGUAGGGGAACUGAGAGGUUUAUCCCCCACACUGGUACUGAGACACGGACCAGACGCCUACGGGAGGAAGCAGUGAGGAAUAGUGGUCAAUGGGCGCGAGCCUGAACCAGCCAAGUCGCGUGAAGGAUGACUGUCUUAUGGAUUGUAAACUUCUUUUAGACGGGAAUAACAAGAGUCACGUGUGACUCCCUGCAUGUACCGUAUGAAUAAGCAUCGGCUAACUCCGUG
This 487-nucleotide ribosomal RNA is filed under the name uncultured bacterium. RNAcentral's name for it is "partial 16S ribosomal RNA". It matches the Rfam family "Bacterial small subunit ribosomal RNA", at positions 28 to 507 of the family's 1533-position model. The record is from RNAcentral.